Long non-coding RNA from Lagenorhynchus albirostris (white-beaked dolphin), 755 nucleotides. RefSeq lists it as uncharacterized. The record is from RefSeq and is a predicted model, not a curated record. NCBI's taxonomy places the organism in Eukaryota, Metazoa, Chordata, Mammalia, Artiodactyla, Delphinidae. The transcript has 2 exons.
AGGCAGAGGGAGGAGGAGGCUAACUUUCUUGGGCUCUAACCUUACCCUGGGCACAGUGCUGGGUGCGGGGAUUCUGGCUUCUCCGUUCAUCUCAGCAGGCGUCCUGGUUGCAAGCAACGGAAAAUACUCUAACUUAGAGAGCUGGGAAACCAGCAUGGGAAACAGGAAAGAACCACAGCGAAGGCCACACCCACAGCGUCCCAGGACACGUCCUCCACCCACCCCCGUCACUGGUGGCUGCAGGGCCCUGCACUGGGCCCCAGUUCCCCUCUGGGCCUCGCUCAGGGUGAAGGCUAAACCAAGGUCACUGCCAGGGCCUGGCCACUGCAAGAGCAGGGAGGCCUCUCACUGUUGUGGCCUCUCCCGUCGCGGAGCACAGGCUCCGGACGUGCAGGCUCCGGACACGCAGGCUCAGCGGCCACGGCUCACGGGCCCAGCCACCCCGCGGCAUGUGGGAUCCUCCCGGACUGGGGCACGAACCCGUGUCCCCUGCAUCGGCAGGCGGGCUCUCCACUGUGCCACCAGGGAAGCCCUGUAACAUCCAUUUUUGACGGCUGUGAAAUAUUUCGUUAAAUGUUUGUGACAUGGUCCAAUUAAGCUGUUCUCUGUUGCUGAAUAUUUAGGUUAUUUUCAAUUUCUACUUAAUGCUGCAAUAAGCAUUUUGUUCUCCCCUGUUGAUGAUUAGGCCCUCAAGUUAGAUUCCCACGAGUGGAAUGAUUGGCUCAAAAGAUAUAAACAUUUUGAGGUUCCUGAUA